Homo sapiens (human) is the source of this 1053-nucleotide long non-coding RNA. RefSeq lists it as uncharacterized. The transcript has 4 exons. NCBI's taxonomy places the organism in Eukaryota, Metazoa, Chordata, Mammalia, Primates, Hominidae. The record is from RefSeq and is a predicted model, not a curated record.
AAUCCCGGAGAUCCCUCUCCGUCAUCCAGCUGAGGCGGGAAAUGGAGGAACAGACGUGGCUUACGAGUUCGAGUCCCAUUCCCGAAAAGGCUGUUUGUCAACCUCCUGAAUAGCAUAAUACAAAGUUUAAAUAGGGUAUGCCUUAGAAGGGAUUCGCGAGAGUCCCUGGCUUAGACUCGACUUUUAUGCUCUCUGGUUGUUCUGUUUGCCAAGGAAUGGUGGAAAGCGCCAGAUAUUGGGGCCACAAAGGGAAAACGAUACCAUUUUGGCUGGUUUUUAUUUAGGACAAACAGAACCCACUGCACACUACAGCAAGAGUAGCCAAGAUGUUGACCAUCUGAAACAAGGAGCCAUUUCGGUUUUACCAACUCAGACUGAGAUUGUGGCUGAGUUUGAUAAGUGCAGACUGCUAUUCUUUCUUAAGACCUCUCCCUUUGGAGCACAUUAAAAGUGGAGAGAACUGCUGUCACCUUGGUCCACGGUCUUCGGGAUCUUUCCAGGAGGUUUUCGAAUAGAUUAAGCCAGUCACUCCUACUGCUGACCUCUGCAGGACCGGCCUCCCUAGUGCCCUGCAGUGGGAUUCUUCGCCGAGCUGCAGUAACUGAAGAACACUGGCUUUCUCUGCUAGACUUGCCCUGCACCAUGGCACAGUCAGGCAGAGUCCUUGGUCAGGACAGACUGCCUGCAAGGCUACCAGGAUUUCUUUGGAACACUAAAACUUCCCUCUCCCAGUGGCUAGAGUCCAUAUGAUUCUGCUGGGGUCCAGAGUGGAAGGCCUACAAGCAGUGAUUCCCAACUCCAUUCUCUAAUUCCCCCAAAUUCCUUUCCGACACCCGCCCCCCAACAACAACAACCAAUCCUGUAAGUUUUGCUGAUCUCUUGCACCUGGCACCAUUGCCAGGUGAACCCCUGGGAACCAAGCCACUGCCCUUGGCAUCUGCCAACAUGUUUCAUUGUCUAUUUCCUCAGCUCUUUCAUAAUGAAAAAGGUAUGCUUCUUGUGCACCCCAACUCUUGCAGACCUCUCCUAAGAAAGCCCAGAGCCCCAGUUUGA